AGGAUAAUAGCUUAAUAGGCAAAGCGUACCGCUCAUAACGGUAAAGAUAUUGGUUCGAUUCCAGUUUAUCCUA
Thalictrum thalictroides is the source of this 73-nucleotide non-coding RNA. The record is from the annotation of a GenBank genome assembly. Lineage: Eukaryota; Viridiplantae; Streptophyta; Magnoliopsida; Ranunculales; Ranunculaceae.